Molecule: ribosomal RNA, 419 nt
Filed under: uncultured bacterium
Lineage: Bacteria
Description: bacterial SSU rRNA
Rfam family: Bacterial small subunit ribosomal RNA
Source: RNAcentral
AUUGGACAAUGGGCGCAAGCCUGAUCCAGCCAUGCCGCGUGGGUGAAGAAGGCCUUCGGGUUGUAAAGCCCUUUUGUCCGGAAAGAAAUCCUGUCGGUUAAUACCCGGCGGGGAUGACGGUACCGGAAGAAUAAGCACCGGCUAACUUCGUGCCAGCAGCCGCGGUAAUACGAAGGGUGCAAGCGUUACUCGGAAUUACUGGGCGUAAAGCGUGCGUAGGCGGUUCGUUAAGUCCGAUGUGAAAGCCCUGGGCUCAACCUGGGAACUGCAUUGGAUACUGGCGAGCUAGAGUGCGGUAGAGGAUGGUGGAAUUCCCGGUGUAGCGGUGAAAUGCGUAGAGAUCGGGAGGAACACCAGUGGCGAAGGCGGCCAUCUGGACCAGCACUGACGCUGAGGCACGAAAGCGUGGGGAGCAAACA